This is an RNA transcript of Grammomys surdaster, 1902 nucleotides long. It is a transcript of the gene named RAB19, member RAS oncogene family, with no coding region annotated. The record is from RefSeq and is a predicted model, not a curated record. The transcript is spliced from 6 exons. NCBI's taxonomy places the organism in Eukaryota, Metazoa, Chordata, Mammalia, Rodentia, Muridae.
ACCAAACCUGCUGCCAAGAGCCGGAACUUAAGUCCCCACCGCGCUGCAAGGCAAGAGGAAGAAGAGGACAACUGAGGGCUACAGAGGAAACCGAAGAAAAAGCAAAAACUACCUGCUCACCAGCGAGGUAAGAGAGUGCCCAGGGUUGUGGAUCUAUGGGGCAACUCUCUACAGCUGACCAAUCGCUGGCAUCCUUCACCCACGAGAAUAUUUGCUCUGUGAAAGCCACAACGGAUGUAGAUUUUCUUCUUCUAAGGAAGCCAGAGCCAUGCAAUUCUCCAGCUCAGCCAGAACAGCGGAUGAGAAUGUGGACUAUUUGUUCAAAGUCAUCCUUAUUGGGGACUCCAAUGUGGGGAAGACAUGUGUGGUUCAGCAUUUCAAGUCUGGAGUCUACAGUGAGUCACAGCAGAACACCAUUGGGGUGGACUUCACCGUGCGCUCCCUCGAGAUCGAUGGCAAGAAAGUGAAGAUGCAGGUGUGGGACACAGCAGGCCAGGAGCGCUUUCGUACCAUCACCCAAAGCUACUACCGGAGUGCCCAUGCAGCCAUCAUCGCCUAUGACCUCACACGGCGGUCCACAUUCGAAUCUGUCCCCCACUGGAUCCAUGAGAUAGAAAAAUAUGGAGCCGCCAACUUGGUCAUCAUGCUGAUCGGGAACAAAUCAGACCUGUGGGAGAAUCGGCAUGUCCUGUUUGAGGAUGCCUGCACACUGGCUGAGAAGUAUGGUCUCCUGGCUGUCCUGGAAACAUCCGCCAAGGAGUCCAGAAACAUAGAUGAAGUCUUUGUGCUCAUGGCGAAGGAGUUAAUUGCCCGCAAUAGCCUGCACCUGUACGGGGAGAGUGCCCAGCAAGGGCUUUCCCAGGAUUCCAGCCCAGUUCUUGUGGCCCAUGUCCCCAGUGAGAGCACCCGCUGUACUUGCUGAACAUGGGUGGGAGGCCAGCACAAAAGCCAGGGUAUGCAGACGCCAGUGUCUCCCAGUAGCAUUGCUGGCUGAGCCUUACCCCUAGCCUGAUGGGCAGCACAGACUCUUGAGGAAAGGGGACACCACUGUCCUUAAGAACUCAUAUUGAAAUGAAGACUUCAGGCCCUGGAGGAAGAGGGUUGGGAUGGAUUUUCCUCAUACUGGUCUCUGUCUCCCCCAAAUCCAGCUGUUUUAUAGUGGAGUUUGCUUCUCUGUUGUACAAAGACAGUAGUUAAGUGUGGGGAGCAGGAAGAUGCAGAGAGGAUAUUUGGAACAUUCUAGAUUUGGAAACAGCCCAGGCACGGUUGGGGAAGGCCUGUAAUGAAAAGCCAGCCUGCUUCCCAGCAGUCACAGCCAGGUCUUCUUCCUGAGGAGCAAGGCCUGCUGACCUAAAAGCCAGAAACACCUUCUUGCCAAAUGGUCAGGAACCAGGAGGCAGAUGCAACUGGCUUCCCCUGUCAAUGAUUGACCACAGGAUGGAAGAAAUGCCUACCAUGAAUUCCUAAAACAUCAAAUUAUCUUCUGUACAGAAGUCAAGUCCUGUGUUGAAAUUAAAUUGUCCUUACAUUACUAGGAAACCAGUGUUGUGUCUCCUCCCAUAAGAUGUGGUCAGAGAGCAGCUGAUGCCUUCUUGCAGUGGAGUAGCCCCCACUUUCAGAACUACAAAAGAUGGCAAUGUGGAUGGACCACUGCCGCAGUCUGCUGAAGGUCCGGUGUGAACGGUGGAUGACUAGUGCCAAACAUUCUGGACAAGAUCGUGACUUGGGGAUAUGAGGCAUGAGAUCGGGUGGCACGUCUCCUGUGUAGGAGAUGCUUCAUUUUCGGAACUGUCACUGCAGAGAUGGACGAUGCUUCUUACUUGAGAUCUGCUGGUCUCCCAAUGUAUAAACAAAGUAAUGUUAAGCAACUUGCUCAUUAAAUGACAGGAGGCUUUGGCUGCA